GACAGACCUUCUUUUGUUUUAUGGACGACCAUUUUAAGAAGCAAAUUUUUCGCGAACGGACGGACAGAGAGUUACAUUAGAGACAGACAAGGUUACAGAAUAGUUAUUUAAAAUUUUAAAGACUGAAGAAGAAAGAUCGAUAGCUCAGGACGUUGAUAAUCGAUUCUCGAUUUUCAGACUACAGAAUAGAUCCCUGAAUUAUCCCCGGAUUGCGAUCUUACAUAUAUGUACAUAUUUGUAUAUUUAUAUAUAUAUAUAAAUAUAUAUAUAUAUAUAUAUAUAGAGAGAGAGAGAGAGAGAAUAUGGCAGUUAUACAGUGACUACGAAAGGUAUUUAAAUAAUAUGAAUAUAAAUACAUGAUACAUGUAUUAAACUUGGUAUUAUUUACUGGUACUUUCAUACGAUUAUAAGGAU
Molecule: unclassified non-coding RNA, 414 nt
Filed under: Bombus terrestris (buff-tailed bumblebee)
Lineage: Eukaryota; Metazoa; Arthropoda; Insecta; Hymenoptera; Apidae
Description: misc RNA ENSBTSG00005026282.1
Source: RNAcentral